GGUUAAUGAGCGCUUUUUCAUUGCGGCAACGAACAGAUAUCGGUGUGAUUGGAUCUGCUGCGGCAGCGUUUUUCAGAUGCGAUUGCGUCGCGCUCUCCGAACACACAUCGCAUCGGUCAGAUGGGAUAAUUUUCCGCGCAAUCGGCGGCUGUAAAAACUAACAUCAAAACAACCGAAAAUUGUCGGGAACAAAUGUUAUCUCAGUUCGGCCGAGUUUUUGACU
This 223-nucleotide unclassified non-coding RNA is filed under the name Hevea brasiliensis (rubber tree). Lineage: Eukaryota; Viridiplantae; Streptophyta; Magnoliopsida; Malpighiales; Euphorbiaceae. The record is from RNAcentral.